UACGGAGGGAGCAAGCGUUACUCGGAAUUAUUGGGCGUAAAGCGCGUGUAGGCAGCUUAGCAAGUCGGAUGUGAAAGCCCUGGGCUCAACCUAGGAAGUGCAUUCGAAACUGCUGAGCUAGAGUUCUGGAGAGGAAGGCGGAAUUCUCGGUGUAGAGGUGAAAUUCGUAGAUAUCGGGAGGAACACCGGUGGCGAAGGCGGCCUUCUGGACAGCAACUGACGCUCAGGCGCGAAAGCUAGGGGAGCGAACAGG
Molecule: ribosomal RNA, 253 nt
Filed under: uncultured bacterium
Lineage: Bacteria
Description: partial 16S ribosomal RNA
Rfam family: Bacterial small subunit ribosomal RNA
Source: RNAcentral